This is an RNA transcript of Lycium barbarum (goji berry), 1495 nucleotides long. RefSeq lists it as uncharacterized. The record is from RefSeq and is a predicted model, not a curated record. The transcript has 3 exons. NCBI's taxonomy places the organism in Eukaryota, Viridiplantae, Streptophyta, Magnoliopsida, Solanales, Solanaceae.
AGAAAUAAAAUUAAAAAUAAAAAUAAAAGUUGAUAAUAUAAGGUUAAGAUAGGCAUUUAAAAAAGUUAAUUAUGACAAAGGGGAAAAUAUUUAUUAUUGAAAGUUGAAGAAAAAUUUGAUUUUUAAAAUAAUUGGAGGUGUAAAUGACUUUAACCUAAAACACUAGCAUGUUAUAAGUAAGCAUAACCCGCCCGCCCGCCCCCUCUCUCUCUCUCGGAAGGAAAUUAAAGUCAUAAGUAAAAAUAGUUUCGCUUUUGAGGUUAUCUUGGUGCUGGUGUUGGAUGAUAAUGAAAACUAAUAUGGAUCUUUCCGAUCUAUCAAUCAGGUAUGCCCAUCAUCUCUCUCUCUCCCUUAUUUGUUUUUUUUUUCUCUUCUUUUAACCCUAAUAACAGAACCUUUUUUUUUAAUCCUCGUUUUUGCAAAUUUCUGAAGAUUAUUUAAUAAACAAAAAAUAUCCAAGCUUGGUUCCUGUUUUUUCGCAAAUUUCUCUUUAAAGGAGGAACAUCCCUCUUUUAAUAAAAAAAGUUGCAACUUUUUUUUUUUGCAAUUUGUUUGUUGUGUUACUACAAGAAUUGUACCCUACAGAUAAGACUUUGAAUUUUGGACUACAAUAACAUAGAAACCCAUCUGGGGAGGGUAGCCCCAAUUAACCCUACUAAUUGGGGCUAAUCAAAUUGACUUUACUAGCAGCGGCAUCAAAUCGUUUGUUGAAUAACUGAGUAUCUGCAGCCGCUUGGGUGAAGAAGUUCUCCUACUCUCUCCCCGUAGCCUCUUCCUCGGCAUAUGGACGUUUUUCUCUCAAAACUUCAACGCCAUGGUUUCAUCUUUCAAAAAGUUUAGGUGGGCCUGGCCACACGACCAUGGUGGGCGUACCCUUUAUGGUAAUGAUGUAUGGUGGUCUAUUUUUGGUAAUCUUUCCUGGUUUUGCAUGUGCCUUGCUCUAUCUAAUUUUAUGGUUGAUCUAAGUCGUAGCAUGACCUUGGCGGCUCUCCACGUGAUUUUCUCUACCGGGGCCCUAAUAACUCAUUUCAUUUUGAUGCACUCGAUUGUUUAUUGGUAUCGCGACAUGCCUUUCAAGUUAAUGGGUGCCAAGGCGAAAUUUAUGAUUGAGGUCAUCCCUAUGAUAAUAGCAGCAGCCUUGCAUCACCUUUUUGAAUUCAAUUAUGGGUAUCUCCUGCUAUUGCUAGUCUUCACAAUAUAUUUUUAUACCUUUGCGCACUUCAUGCACGUAGCCUAUGACAUUGGAGGAAAAGACGUAUUGUUAGGAUUACUAAUGCCGGUUCUUGGUUACAUGCUGAACGUAGAAUUGUUACUUAGAGCUUUGGCUUUGAGCUUCUGCGUAGGCUUUAGUUUUUAUAGAUACGUGACAUAUUGUGCUCCUGAAGUACCUGCCCAUUCUAAAAAGGAGCUGGAGCGGCUGCCUUGCUGAUUUGAAGGCGUUUGUAGAAGGACAAAUCUUUAGCAUCUCAUAUAUUAUAAGUUAGUCUGUUGUCUU